This 253-nucleotide ribosomal RNA is filed under the name uncultured bacterium. RNAcentral's name for it is "partial 16S ribosomal RNA". It matches the Rfam family "Bacterial small subunit ribosomal RNA", at positions 524 to 776 of the family's 1533-position model. The record is from RNAcentral.
UACAGAGGGUGCGAGCGUUGUUCGGAAUUAUUGGGCGUAAAGCGCUUGUAGGCGGCACGUCAAGUCGCGUGUGAAAUCCCCAGGCUUAACCUGGGAAGUGCGCGCGAAACUGACGAGCUUGAGUGCCGGAGAGGGUCGCGGAAUUCCCGGUGUAGAGGUGAAAUUCGUAGAUAUCGGGAGGAACACCAGUGGCGAAGGCGGCGACCUGGACGGACACUGACGUUGAUGCACGAAGGCCAGGGGAGCAAACGGG